Molecule: long non-coding RNA, 1169 nt
Filed under: Medicago truncatula (barrel medic)
Lineage: Eukaryota; Viridiplantae; Streptophyta; Magnoliopsida; Fabales; Fabaceae
Description: lncRNA gene1986
Source: RNAcentral
UAUAAUAUGUAACCAAAGACACAUCAAGUAUCUGGAGCUAGACUUAACAUAGAUACAUUACUAACAUUGUUACAUGCAAAAAUACAUAUAUCACGAAGAAAUCACCAAGGCAUCAAAUCCAUAAGCAAGCAUUAGCAAUUUAUGGAAAUUGGAAAUCUCCACCACUAGCUUCUCCAUCAGUAGCCUUGGGUGGGCUAAUGGAAACCCAAAGCAAAGAAAGGAUGAUUGCAAUGAGACCUGACCACACAAAUACAAUGGUGGGAGUCUUCCCUCUCCUUCCCAUCAAUCCUUUUGCAAAUGGAUACAAAUGUGCAAGAACCCAAAAGCUAAAGAAUGCUCCUCCUAUAAACUUACUCCAUUGUGGAUUCGCGCUAUAAAUGGUUCUAGAAAAUGCAACCACAAUGGCAAUCACAUUUACCAUUGCGAUAACAAUUGGUGGAAUCAUUAGGGAGCUCCAUUUGACUAUAUACAAAUCUGCGAAAAUGUCAUCGUCAUCCUCUCCUCCUGAUUUAGAUGUCAAAGUAAAAGAAAUCUCAAUUCCAGCAAUCACUUUAAGGAGUCCUUGUAUGACAGCAGCCAGAUGAGCACUAGUGCCGGAUAUGAGCCAAAAUUGUUCAUUCCUCCACCACUGCUCUAACUCUAUGCCAGACCAUUUAACCUCAAGAAUGGCAAGCCCCACCAAGCACACGGUCAUGGUGAGCAAGUAGAUUAAAAAGGCGAUACUUAGGGUUUGCACAAUAAAAUAUCCGGAAAACAAUGAGAGUGCUGGGAGGAAGCAAUACACAAUGAGGAGGAUGGAGGUGAAGGGGUAGACACCAACAUUGAGGUAAGCGAGACGUUGUAAAAGUUUUAGGCGCUUACUAGCGAGGAAUGCAUUGUUCUUGGAGAAGAAAAUCUCAACAGAACCUGUGGCCCAUCUUAGCACCUGGUGUAGUCGAUCAGUAAGAUUAAUUGGUGCAGAUCCACGAAAUGCAUCUCGCUUGGUUACACAAUAUACAGAACGCCAUCCACGAUUGUGCAUGCGGUACCCUGUAACCACAUCCUCUGUCACUGACCCAUAAAUCCAUCCCACUCUUUCUCCCCAUUCUGUCUUGUCUUCAUACCUACAUGAAAUAAAUAUAUUUUUAAUUAAUUAUGUAAUAAAAUUAAAUAAGUUAAAUGUUGUCUUU